CCUACGGGAGGCAGCAGUGGGGAAUAUUGGGCAAUGGGCGCAAGCCUGACCCAGCAAUGCCGCGUGAAGGAAGAAGGCUUUCGGGUUGUAAACUUCUUUGACAGGGGAAGAGCAGAAGACGGGACCCUGAAAACAAGCCACGGCUAACUACGGGCCAGCAGCCGCGGUAAUACGUAGGUGGCAAGCGUUGUCCGGAUUUACUGGGUGGAAAGGGCGUGUAGCCGGGAAGGAUAGUCAGAUGUGAAAUCCGGAGGCUCUACCGCCGACUUGCAUUGGAAACUGUUUUUCUUGAGUACUGGAGAGGCAGCCGGCAUUCCUUGUGUCGCCGUGAACUGCGUAGCUAUCAGGCGGACCACCAGUGGCGAAGGCGGUCUGCUGGACCGCACCUGACGGUGCGGCGCGCCCGCGUGGGGAGCAAACAGGAUUCGAUACCCUGGUAGUC
This 442-nucleotide ribosomal RNA is filed under the name uncultured bacterium. RNAcentral's name for it is "partial 16S ribosomal RNA". It matches the Rfam family "Bacterial small subunit ribosomal RNA", at positions 338 to 795 of the family's 1533-position model. The record is from RNAcentral.